CCUACGGGAGGCAGCAGUGGGGAAUCUUGCGCAAUGGGCGAAAGCCUGACGCAGCCAUGCCGCGUGAAUGAUGAAGGUCUUAGGAUUGUAAAAUUCUUUCACCGGGGACGAUAAUGACGGUACCCGGAGAAGAAGCCCCGGCUAACUUCGUGCCAGCAGCCGCGGUAAUACGAAGGGGGCUAGCGUUGCUCGGAAUUACUGGGCGUAAAGGGAGCGUAGGCGGAUAGUUUAGUCAGAGAUGAAAGCCCAGGGCUCAACCUUGGAAUUGCCCUUGAUACUGGCUAUCUUGAGUACGGAAGAGGUAUGUGGAACUCCGAGUGUAGAGGUGAAAUUCGUAGAUAUUCGGAAGAACACCAGUGGCGAAGGCGACAUACUGGUCCGUUACUGACGCUGAGGCUCGAAAGCGUGGGGAGCAAACAGGAUUAGAUACCCUGGUAGUCCACGCUGUAAACGAUGAGUGCUAGUUGUCGGCGAUGCAUGCAUGUCGGUGACGCGAGACUACGACAUUAAGUACGACCGUCCGCCGUCGGGGUAGGGUACGGGUCGGCGAAGUAAGUUAAAACCGUUAACGUUAAAGUUAAGUAAGUUAGGUUACGGUCGNGAGACGCGACGACGACGACGACGGAGGGAGGAGG
This 635-nucleotide ribosomal RNA is filed under the name uncultured bacterium. RNAcentral's name for it is "bacterial SSU rRNA". The stretch from base 1 to 521 matches the Rfam family "Bacterial small subunit ribosomal RNA", at positions 338 to 873 of the family's 1533-position model. The record is from RNAcentral.